CUUAUACAACUUUCAGCAACGGAUCUCUUGGCUCUCGCAUCGAUGAAGAACGCAGCGAAAUGCGAUAAGUAAUGUGAAUUGCAGAAUUCAGUGAAUCAUCGAAUCUUUGAACGCACCUUGCGCUCCUUGGUAUUCCGAGGAGCAUGCCUGUUUGAGUGUCAUUAAAUUCU
This 170-nucleotide ribosomal RNA is filed under the name Alnicola salabertii. RNAcentral's name for it is "5.8S ribosomal RNA". It matches the Rfam family "5.8S ribosomal RNA". Rfam says of the family: 5.8S ribosomal RNA (5.8S rRNA) is a component of the large subunit of the eukaryotic ribosome. It is transcribed by RNA polymerase I as part of the 45S precursor that also contains 18S and 28S rRNA. The record is from RNAcentral. Lineage: Eukaryota; Fungi; Basidiomycota; Agaricomycetes; Agaricales; Hymenogastraceae.